Peromyscus californicus insignis is the source of this 1239-nucleotide long non-coding RNA. RefSeq lists it as uncharacterized. The transcript has 3 exons. The record is from RefSeq and is a predicted model, not a curated record. NCBI's taxonomy places the organism in Eukaryota, Metazoa, Chordata, Mammalia, Rodentia, Cricetidae.
UCCAUCCAUAUAUCCAGGUGAUUGAAAACGUUGAGUAUUCCAGGCAAGUACUUUACCAGGAAUGUACACCUCCAGCCCAUUUUUAUUUUAUUAGGGAACAUCUUACUAAGUUGCGCAGGCUGUACUUGAACAGGUGACUCACAAAUCAGUGUCUCAAGUAGCUGGAAUUACAGGCCUGUACCACCAUGACAGGCUAAGAGCUAAUAUUUUUAAGGGACAUAUUAAAAUCCUUUUUUAUUUACAAACUUCAACAAUGUUGACUCCCAAAUUCCUUCAUCCCCAGGAUGAAUAUCAACCCAUUUUCCCAGUGUCCAAGCAGAAGCCAAAGGACAAUGGACAUCAAGAACCAGGUUGAUCUGUCAUGAAUGUAAAGAGAAAGCAGCUUGGACAGAAGGAUAGGAGGCAGGGUGAUCACCUCAUCAUGGACAGCUAGGGGAACACUGUCAGAUUCGGAACUUGAGGCUCCAGCAUGGUUUGACUCCUGGAUAACAUCAUCACUGUGAGGAGUGAGUGAGUUCCUUAACCUUACUCUCUGGGGCUCCCUUUUUGUUUUUCCUCUGAAAGAUGUAAUGGCAGCUGUCAGGGAUGAAAAGAACUAAUGCACAAGAACACUUGGUUCAGGUUGUCUUCUAGUGAGAACGAGCUGUGCAUUGCUGACUGGGUGGCGUCAGGGAUGCAGAUGGUAAAGGUUGCUACAAAGUUGUGUAAAGAACUUCCAAAGGCAUGGAAAGUUCUGCUUGGAGCCUAGGGAAAGCUUCAGGGACCAUUUGAACAGUGAGCACAUGCUGGGAUCUGCAGGCUACGGUUUAUCCUGUAGGUCUGGCUUUGAGCAAACAGGAUCAGUAGAGUUUAUAUGGAGCUAGAAAACAGGAUAAGAAGUGUGUGGGAUGAUUGGAAGAUACUUGGGCCAAGCAGUAGACAUUGGGGUGAAGAAUGGUCACUUGUGCUCAAAGUACCAGCUCAUGUGGGGGCCCUAGGAGCUCAGGUCCCCCAAGGGAGAGGCAUUUCUUGGUCUCUAUAGGAGGUUAAGCCAGCCUGGACAGUGCUCUGUGCUUGCCUUUUCUUAUGCCUGUUGGCUUUCAACCCCAUUGUAAAUCCUAGUUUGCUUUGAUGUGUCUCAACCACUUCCUCGUUCCAUUUGGUAGAAGCACGACUGCCCACUGCCAGGCUGAACACUUACCUCAGAUGUUGCUUGCCAAAUGCCGAGUUUUACAACCUUGUAUCAUACAUGUCUCUGCC